This 483-nucleotide ribosomal RNA is filed under the name uncultured bacterium. Its description in RNAcentral is "partial 16S ribosomal RNA". It matches the Rfam family "Bacterial small subunit ribosomal RNA", at positions 30 to 507 of the family's 1533-position model. The record is from RNAcentral.
UUGAACGCUGGCGGCAGGCCUAACACAUGCAAGUCGAGCGGAUGAAGGGAGCUUGCUCCUGGAUUCAGCGGCGGACGGGUGAGUAAUGCCUAGGAAUCUGCCUGGUAGUGGGGGAUAACGUCCGGAAACGGGCGCUAAUACCGCAUACGUCCUGAGGGAGAAAGGGGGGGGUCUUCGGACCUCACGCUAUCAGAUGAGCCUAGGUCGGAUUAGCUAGUUGGUGGGGUAAAGGCCUACCAAGGCGACGAUCCGUAACUGGUCUGAGAGGAUGAUCAGUCACACUGGAACUGAGACACGGUCCAGACUCCUACGGGAGGCAGCAGUGGGGAAUAUUGGACAAUGGGCGAAAGCCUGAUCCAGCCAUGCCGCGUGUGUGAAGAAGGUCUUCGGAUUGUAAAGCACUUUAAGUUGGGAGGAAGGGCAGUAAGUUAAUACCUUGCUGUUUUGACGUUACCAACAGAAUAAGCACCGGCUAACUUCGUG